UACGUAGGGUGCAGGCGUUAAUCGGAAUUACUGGGCGUAAAGCGUGCGCAGGCGGUUUCGUAAGUCAGAUGUGAAAGCCCCGGGCUUAACCUGGGAACUGCGUUUGAAACUGGGAGACUUGAGUGUGGCAGAGGGGGGUGGAAUUCCACGUGUAGCAGUGAAAUGCGUAGAUAUGUGGAGGAACACCGAUGGCGAAGGCAGCCCCCUGGGAUGUGACUGACGCUCAUGUACGAAAGCGUGGGGAGCAAACAGG
RNAcentral lists this ribosomal RNA (253 nucleotides) under uncultured bacterium. Its description in RNAcentral is "partial 16S ribosomal RNA". It matches the Rfam family "Bacterial small subunit ribosomal RNA", at positions 524 to 776 of the family's 1533-position model. The record is from RNAcentral.